UGGCUCAGAUGGUAAAGAAUCUGCCUGUAAUGCAGGAGACCCGGGUUCAAUUCCUGG
This 57-nucleotide transfer RNA is filed under the name Bos taurus (domestic cattle). It matches the Rfam family "tRNA", at positions 8 to 63 of the family's 71-position model. From Rfam's summary of the family: Transfer RNA (tRNA) molecules are approximately 80 nucleotides in length. The record is from Rfam by way of RNAcentral. Lineage: Eukaryota; Metazoa; Chordata; Mammalia; Artiodactyla; Bovidae. RNAcentral also lists the same sequence under 3 other names.